GACAACUCAGUGGAAAUUCAUCCCCCCGAGUAAAGGGGACGAUGCUACACAGGUUGUUAAGCCGUUACCAAGGAAGAUGUCUUGCACAAUGAGAAACUAGAAGGGAAACACAAACCUAAAGAGUCUUCGCAGAAAGCUCCCAACAUUCUGCCUAAUGAGGAAAAUGAGGUUACAACAGACAAUGAUGCCAAGGAUGAGGUCGAGACAAAUAAGAGGUUAAAAGAAACUGGACUUUUGAGCUCUAGAAGCACUACUGGGAUUGAGAAAAUUUCACCAGAUUGUAGUAGAUCCCUUUCUUCUCCCCAAUCUAUGUUCCCCAAUCGUUUAGCGGAAGACAUUCCUAUUCGAAAUUCAUUCGACAUGUUAAUUGAUCAAUUGCACUUGGAAGUUGGAAAAGACCCUCCGGAUUACUCUUUCGAUGUUGGCAGGGAUGGAGGUUAACAUUCUGAUACGGAUAUACUAGACAUUGCAGCCAAUAACAG
Molecule: long non-coding RNA, 482 nt
Filed under: Olea europaea (common olive)
Lineage: Eukaryota; Viridiplantae; Streptophyta; Magnoliopsida; Lamiales; Oleaceae
Description: long non-coding RNA (OEUR_LNC012807)
Source: RNAcentral